This 902-nucleotide ribosomal RNA is filed under the name uncultured bacterium. RNAcentral's name for it is "bacterial SSU rRNA". It matches the Rfam family "Bacterial small subunit ribosomal RNA", at positions 8 to 916 of the family's 1533-position model. The record is from RNAcentral.
AGAGUUUGAUCAUGGCUCAGGAUGAACGCUAGCGGCAGGCCUAACACAUGCAAGUCGAGGGGUAGAAGUCUUCGGACUUUGAGACCGGCGCACGGGUGCGUAACGCGUAUGCAAUCUACCUUGUACAGAGGGAUAGCCCAGAGAAAUUUGGAUUAAUACCUCAUAGUAUAAUUGAAUGGCAUCAUUUGAUUAUUAAAGUUCCAACGGUACAAGAUGAGCAUGCGUCCCAUUAGUUAGUUGGUAAGGUAACGGCUUACCAAGACAAUGAUGGGUAGGGGUCCUGAGAGGGAGAUCCCCCACACUGGUACUGAGACACGGACCAGACUCCUACGGGAGGCAGCAGUGAGGAAUAUUGGUCAAUGGGCGCAAGCCUGAACCAGCCAUGCCGCGUGCAGGAUGAAGCAUCUAUGGUGUGUAAACUGCUUUUAUACAGGAAGAAACACUCCCUCGUGAGGGAGCUUGACGGUACUGUAGGAAUAAGGAUCGGCUAACUCCGUGCCAGCAGCCGCGGUAAUACGGAGGAUCCAAGCGUUAUCCGGAAUCAUUGGGUUUAAAGGGUCCGUAGGCGGUUUAAUAAGUCAGUGGUGAAAUCUGGUCGCUCAACGAUCAAACGGCCAUUGAUACUGUUAGACUUGAAUUAUUGGGAAGUAACUAGAAUAUGUAGUGUAGCGGUGAAAUGCUUAGAUAUUACAUGGAAUACCAAUUGCGAAGGCAGGUUACUAUCAAUAUAUUGACGCUGAUGGACGAAAGCGUGGGGAGCGAACAGGAUUAGAUACCCUGGUAGUCCACGCCGUAAACGAUGGAUACUAGCUGUUCGGAGCAAUCUGAGUGGCUAAGCGAAAGUGAUAAGUAUCCCACCUGGGGAGUACGUUCGCAAGAAUGAAACUCAAAGGAAUUGACGG